GUCCGCGGCACAGCCCCGUUGGCGUGGGGACGCACAGCUGGUGGGAUCUCGCCAUGGCCUGGGCCCCUCUCCUCCUCGCGGUGCUCGCCCACACCUCAGGUUCCCUGGUCCAGGCAGCACUGACUCAGCCGGCCUCGAAGUCGGUGAACCUGGGAAACACCGUGCAGAUCACCUGCUCCGGGAGCAGCUACGGCUACUAUGGCUGGUUCCAGCAGAAGACCCCUGGCACUGGCCCUGUCACUGUGAUCUACUACAACGACAAGAGACCCUCGGGCAUCCCUUCACGAUUCUCUGGUUCCAAAUCUGGCUCCACAGCCACGUUAACCAUCACUGGGGUCCAAUCCGAGGACGAGGCCGUCUAUUACUGUGGGAGCUUCGACAGCAGUGCUACUGGUGCAUUUGGGGCCGGGACCACCUUGACCGUCCUGGGCCAGCCCAAGGCGUCUCCCAGCAUCUACGUCUUCCCGCCAUCCUCCGAGGAGAUCGACUCGCAGAACAAGGCCACCCUGGUGUGCCUGAUGAGCGACUUCUACCCCAGCCCGGUGCAGGUGACCUGGAAAGUCGACGGUUCCGCCCGCACCAGCGGCGUGGAGACUUCUGCGUCCCAGAGGCAGAGCAACAACCAGUACAUGGCCAGCAGCUACCUGACACUGAGCGCUGCAGAGUGGAAGAGCCACCAAUCCUUCAGCUGCCAGGUCACGCACGAAGGCGCUGUCACCGAGAAGACCCUGAACAAAUCCGAGUGCUUGUAACCCCGACGGGGCACAGCCACAAAGACAGUGGCUCCUCACACUUCCUGUCCCUCUUGGCCGCUGCUGGUGACAGCAGCCCCCCCUCCUCACCCGGAUGUCCCCCCUCAUGCCCCUGCCAUCCCCCUGUGCCUGUCCCCUGCUCCUGUCCCCCUCCGCCGGGUGUCACACAAAUAAACACCAACACUGAACUAGC
This is a non-coding RNA of Cygnus olor (mute swan), 945 nucleotides long. The record is from the annotation of a RefSeq genome assembly. NCBI's taxonomy places the organism in Eukaryota, Metazoa, Chordata, Aves, Anseriformes, Anatidae.